RNAcentral lists this long non-coding RNA (7894 nucleotides) under Populus trichocarpa (black cottonwood). RNAcentral describes it as "long non-coding RNA (PTRI_LNC000028)". The record is from RNAcentral. Lineage: Eukaryota; Viridiplantae; Streptophyta; Magnoliopsida; Malpighiales; Salicaceae.
CUGGAGCUGGGUCGGCCGAGAGAGGGAAGAACGGUGGUUGGCCGAGAGGGGAGAAGGAGCGUGUGGCUGUUCUGGGAAGGAGGAGGACCGGCUGAGAGGGAGAAGGAAAAUCAAAGGGGCAGCUGUGGAGAAAAAGGAGGAGGUGUCGGUUUGGGAAAAGAAAAUGAUGGUGGAACCGGCUGCGAAAUUGGAGGCUUGUGCAGGCGGCUGAAGAGGAAAAAUCUGCAAAACCAAAGGAGAGAGGGGGGCGGCGGCUCUCCUUGAAAAAAAGAAGAUGGGUUUAGGUUUAGGUUUUUUUGUAUUUUUUUCUGAUGUUGUCAAAAUUGCCCCCCCCUUGAAAAUUCAGUGUAGCAUGGUAUUUAUAGGAAAAGUUUUGCUAGGUUUUCAAACUAGUCCCUCAACUUUUCCUUUCCUUCUCUUUUCCUCUUUUUUUUGUAAAUUUUGAUUUUUCUUAUUUUUUUUGUAUUUUUGAAAGCGAGCAAUAUCAACGUCAACUCAACAAGGAAAAUCAGUGAUUUUAAAAAUAACGCGUUAAAAGUUGAACGCGUUCCAAAUGUCUUUGAAAAUUUAAAUUAUUUUGAGACGAUGCUAAAAAAUGCUAAAAACGAUGCAAAUGUAUUAAAAAUGUAUUUUUUUGGAUUUUCAAUGUUUCUCGCUAUUUUUGGAUUUUUUUGAAAAUUUAUCAAAACAUGGGUCAAAAAUUGGGUAGCAACAGAUGCCCCCUCUUUACAAUGCUUACGAAGCAAAACUCCUCAAUGUUUCGCAUAGUAAGCUUUGUAAAGAAAAACUCUAAAUGUUUCUUUUUUUUUUUUUUUUUGUUAACUUGAGAUCCCAUCUGGCGAUCUCCUUUUUCAAAACCAAAGAAUGUGUGUAGCUCGGUCAACCUGAAAUCCCAUCUGGCGAUUCCCUUUAACCAAAGCUACAUGAGAUCCCAUCUGGCGACCUCAUUCAACUUGAACUUAAAAAAAUGUGUGGUAGCUCGGUCAACCUGAAAUCCCAUCUGGCGAUUCCCUUUAACCAAAGCUACAUGAGAUUCCAUCUGGCAACCUCAUUAAACCCAAACAAAGAAUGUGGAACAAAUGGUCUCAUUGUAUGGGUGACGAACCCCAGAAAAAUGAUGGUCUCAUUGUAUGGGUGAUGAACCCCAGAAAAAUAAUGGUCUCAUUGUAUGGGUGACGAACCCCAGAAAAAUGGUGGUCUCAUUGUAUGGGUGACGAACCCCAGAAAAAUGGUGGUCUCAUUGUAUGGGUGACGAACCCCAGAAAAAUGAUGGUCUCAUUGUAUGGGUGACUAACCCAAGAAAAAUGAUGGUCUCAUUGUAUGGGUGACGAACCCCAGAAAAAUGAUGGUCUCAUUGUAUGGGUGACGAACCCCAGAAAAAUGGUGGUCUCAUUGUAUGGGUGACGAACCCCAGAAAAAUGGUGGUCUCAUUGUAUGGGUGACUAACCCAAGAAAAAAAAUGAUGGUCUCAUUGUAUGGGUGACGAACCCAAGAAAAAAUGAUGGAAAAUGGUCUCAUUAUGAUGGGUGACCUACCCAAACGGAAAGAAUGUGAAGUGCGGUCUCAUUAUAAUGGGUGACCUACCCAGGUGGAAGAUAGAAAAAUGUGAAGUGGUCGCGUUAUAAUGGGUGACCUACCCAGGUGGAAGAUAGAAAAAAUGUGAAGUGGUCGCGUUAUAAUGGGUGACCUACCCAGAUGGAAGAUAGAACAAAUAUGAAGUGGUCUCAUUGUUAUGGGUGACCUACCCAGGUGGAGGAUAGAAAAAAUAUGAAGUGGUCUCAUUGUUAUGGGUGACCUACCCAGGUGUAAGAUAGAAAAAAUGUGAAGUGAUCUCAUUGUUAUGGGUGACCUACCCAGGUGGAAGAUCGAAAAAAUGUGAAGUGGUCUCAUUGUUAUGGGUGACCUACCCAGAUGGAAGAUAGAAAAAAUAUGAACUGGUCUCAUUGUUAUGGGUGACCUACCCAACUGAAAGAUGUGAUGUGACAAGUGUGAAAAAUGGGACUUACCUGGCGAAGUCCUGAAGGGAUGAUAGAAGAAGGGCCGGAAAACUUGGUGCUUCUUGAUAAUUCUUGAUCGCAGGGUUUGAAAACUCGAUGCUUCCUGAUUGCAAGGUUGAUCUUUUCAUUUCUUUGAGAUUUUCCUAACAGUAAGGUUUAUCUCAUCUUCUUCCCGUUCCAGGAUCUAAACCAUGAUUCUCUGUUAUUAUCAGCUCAAUGAUUCUCUCUUUGUCCACAAUCUUGCUGGACUUCAUUGAGGAUCUUUCUGUAACAAAUCACAAAUAUGUGCAAUGCUUUGAGGUUAGAUGACAUGCAUGCAUCCUUACCUGAUGUGAAGUGUAGGUUACCCCCUUGGAUGAUCCAUCGUCAUAGGAUGCCUUUGUUUGCUAACCAAAGCCUUCUUUGCUCUUCCCAUGUACUGGCUCAUUCGUAUGCUAGCCUUCCACUCAAAUGUAAGUGCAGUGCCCAUCUCGGGCUGUCUACGACGAUUACUGCUCUUGUUGUUUAUCAAGCUUGACUCUGCCCCAAAGUGUGGUGUUGCUUGAUUCAUCAUGAAGGAUUUUCUCUCCUAGAUUCUUCUAAAAAUUAUCUUCUGAUUGGUUGUGUGCAUCAUGCCAACACCCAUCAAGAUGGUCAAUCAGUCAUGAACUUGCCCCCAGUUGAAACAAUACUCUUCAAAUUAUCAUCAGUCUUCAUAGAACUGUCAAGUCAUCCAGACAUGGAUCUCAUACCUUGCAGUAAAAGACUCAUCGUUGUAUGCUCAAUGUUCUUUCUCAUGGAUUUCUCUCAGCUUGUCAAAUCAGAUAGUGAAAAGAAAUGCAGUGGCAUCAUCAAUGAUGUUCAUUUUAUCACCCAUAUUCAUGCGAUGAAGUGCGCCUUCAAGCUUCAAAACAAGAUGGUCCCACAGUCAGUCUUGGUGAGUGCAUCCUUCCAAUAUUCACAACUAUGCGAUAACAUCGUUCAAAAGUCAUAGCCAUGUUGGAGAUGAUAAUAUGACAUUAUCCUUCAAGUACAACAUUGUUCCGCAAUCAAUCUUGGUGGUGUGCAUCUUUUCAUAUUCGUUCGAAUGCAAUUGUAUGCCCACAUCGGUCGAUAGCCAUGUUUCAAAAGAUGACGAUAUAAAGAUUUCCUUCAAGUGUAUCUUUGCUUUCCCGAUUGUUGACGGGGUUCAUUAGAUCAUGGACUAUCUUUGAACAACAUUGCCCCCAAUAUGAUCUAAAUGCUUGUUCAUUGAUUAUCUUUCUUUGAACACCAUUGUCUUCAGUGCCUUGAUUCAUCAUUUGAUCAUCUUUCAUUGCCCCCAGCUGAUCUGAAUACUGUUUGUUUUUCCUACCAAUGAUCCACUGUAUUGCCUCCAGGUGGUCAACUUCUCAAGGAGUGUCGAGAAAUGUUGAUGUCAUUCUUGUCAAGGAUUUUGCAAAUUUGGUCGAUGUUCUUGUUGUUUAACAAUCUUUCUUGUUUUGGAAUCAACUCUCAUAUUUCAAAGAUCAUGUCUAUUCAAAGUCUAGUUGUUGAAAUGAAAUCAAAGAGAUGUCAGUUUUUUAAAAUCAAGUUUCUUCGGUCAAAGAUCCAGCACACACUAUUCAAUAUAGUCCUUUGAUUGUCUUGUAUUUUGAAAACAGAAAUGACCCAUUGUAAGUUUAAAAUGACUUUUUUUCAUGGUUCUUUAUGUCAGUUUUAAUCUUUGAUCUUGGGUAUAUCUUUUCACGGUCUGCAAUGAGGUGACCUUCUGUGAAUUUCAAGGAAAACAAAAGGCUCAAGUCAAAACUUGAGGAUUCAGCAAGAAAGAUUGUUUUCUUUUUUAGCACUAAUUUUAUCAGCAUGCAUAAUAACCAAUAGCUUAAUUCAUGAAGCCACGACUCUUAUGGAAAAGCUCUUCAAGUUUUGAGAGCGCCAUUUAUCGGUUCAAAUUGCUUACUUGAUUAAAAAGGGCUUUUAAAAGCACGUAAUGCAGGCUAUGGUUCAUGGCUAUGAAAGAAAGGAAUUUUCAAAGCUCAAAAGGUGUUUGAGGGUUUCAAAGACCUAAGAUCAACAUCAACUAUUCAUCAACUCUCUUUCUCUUGUUGUCAUAGUAGAGAAAGUGAUAUAUAACCUUGUUCAUCUCAAAUAUCAGAAUUCUCUUAACAUAGGUCAUAAUGCUAAUCCAACUUUAUCUCUGAUGAAUAAUGAAUCUAAAAAUUUUUGAAGACACUAAAGGCUUUAUCCUAGACACACCAAAAGACAUGAAACUUGAUUUUUUUGGUGUUGACUUUUGACAUUUGUUGUGUCUUUCUUCCAUUGAAACCUCUUUUGCCCCUCUUAGAAUUGAUAGGCAUUCUCCUUCAUUUCCACUUUUUUUGCUUUUACAUAACCUUCUUCAAAGUUUUCUUGGAUGGCCCUCAAUCUAUGGCUUUUCUUGUUCUCCCUUUCUCAAUCAUUGGACUUUUGUUCUAAGCCUUUCCUUUAUCCAUUAAUCCUAUCACUGUCUUUAAAAUAUCUCUCAUUUGCCCCCAGUGUGGGGUGUGAUCCUAGUCGGGGUUUUUUAUGAAAGGAAUAUUCUAUCCAGCUCAAAAUGGGACUCAAGGGAUAUAAUCUUUAGAAAGUGAAGGGAUAUCAAAGAUGGCCUUUUCUCAUUUCAAGCAAUGGUCGGUUAGAACCGAUAAAUUUUGACCUCGUCCAGUGUAAUGAUUUGGACUUGUAAGAAUCAUGAUUCACGAGUCCAUAACUAUUGAAUCCACUACAUGUCAUUAUGCAUACUGCUAAAACUAGCUAUAUGAUGUGUGGUUUAGUUUCAGGAGGUAUGAGUUCAAAAUUGUUUGGUCACCUCAUGUCAUUUUCAAGCAUCAAGUCAUUUCUGCAAUCAAAACACUUUUAAUGUUCAUGAUUAAACUUUGCAUGUUGGAGUUUGAUCAAACAUAUUUUGUCAAAAUACCCUUUGAAAGAAGCAUCUCUUGAUUUCAAAACAAUAGGAAGACAAAGGAAAGACAUGUUUUGUUCAAGGAUGAGAUGUGACCCCAAAACAAAAUGCAAGAUGGCAAAAUCCAUAACAAAAAUGAUUGACAGUUUAACCCCUUCUUAGAUCAGCCUCUUUGGCAAUAUCUCUGUUUUGCCAAGCAAUUCCGAUCACUCGUCAUUCUGAGGAUGUUCUGGCGAUAAAAUGAUCGAUGACAAGCUCCUUCCCAGAUUCCUCUCGUCUUUUGCUCACCAACUUCCGGACUCGAUUCUUGCAAUUGUUCAAUUGAAAUGGCUGAGGACCCCACCAUGACAUCACAUCUCUUGUCUGGAUUAUACCACCUACAAAAUGGUGGUUGCAUGGGUUUUGUCGGAGUCAGGCAUUAAGUCUGGAAUCUGGCAGAUGCUAGUAAAUAAACCCACAUGGCAACGGAAUGUCUAUCUUUGGCAAAGACAUUGGAGUAGUUGGUGCUUUGUGAGACUUGACUAAACCACAUAACUAUGGUUUUCCGUCUUCAGAGUCAUCUCCUGAUUCAUCUCUUCACAGUUCUGGAAUCCAUGGCAGAUCCUUCAAUCUUUCACUUCUUCAUAGCUCGCUCAAUUCUUUCGAUGAUCUUCACAACAUCAUGUCAUUCUUCCAAUGUUGUUGUGGUUUGUUGAGGGUUGUUGGAAAACUUCCACCAGCGAGGUAAUCUUGGCAGCGCCUACAAACUUGCAGCAUUGUCGCUGUCAAUGUGUGAAAUGAUGCAUUGUUCUUAUUGGAGGAGAAACACUGAAUAUGAAACUCCUUUGUCUCCUCUUCGAUCCCUCACUGACAGUGUAGCAAACAAACACCUGUAGAGGGAGCUCUGCUCUGUUGAAGUUUCAAUCUUCUUUCUAUUUUUCAGCCGAGGUUUGUCUCUUUUCUCUACUUUUGCAUUUUCAAGCUAACACUGAUGAGAGAAAAUUAUAGAUGAUCAGAAACUACUGCAUCCCUUCUUGGAUUCUCCACUUGCAGAUCUACAAACAGAUUUCUGCAGAGAGAGCUCUGCCACGGUGAAGUUCUAUAUUUGCUCCUGUUUUCUAGCUCAAGUCUGGCUUUUCUGCCUACUACAGUGUUUCGAUGCUGAAACUGGUGGGGUAACUUUUCACAUUGUCUGGAACUACUACAUCCCCUCUUGCAUUCCCCACUUGCAGAGCCACAAACGGGUUUUUAUAGAGAGAGCUCUGCCACAUUGAAGUUUGACGACUGCUAAUAUUUGCAGACCAAGUCUGACUCUUCUGCCUACUACAAUGUUUUGCUGGUGCCACUGGUGAGAGAAAGUUUCAAAGCAUAUGAAACUACUACAUCCCCUCUUGCAUUCCCCACUGACAGAUCCACAAACAAAUCUCAACAGAGAGAGAUCUGCCACAUAGAAGUUCAGUGUAUAAUCAUGGUUAGAUCAGCAUCUUGUGCCGCUGAACUGGAAUUGAGCUCAAAGUGGGGUAACUUCAAAGAAGGCUAAUGCACCAUGCACAGAAGGCUAGCAGUUAUUUGGUGCCAUUUAAAAGAUAUGGAGGUGAUGAACAAUUAACAGGGCAACUGACCAAGAACAAAAGUUGUCAUUGGUUAUGACUGAAGGCAUUGUUGCCGUUGUUCAUGACUGAAAAGGAGAGGUGCGGCUUUAAUGGGACGUGGACGAGCGGUGUUCCCACAAAAGAUUGUGCAGACAUUCCCUUUCCAUUUGAUGCUCAACACUUGUUCAGGGAGAUCUGAGUCUAGCUACUUCACCUUUGAUGCUCUCAACUUCCCUUUGAUAAUGAGCUUCUCUUUGACCCCUUUCUUCAUUUCCCAUCAUCUUUGUUCAAUCAGGUGUAGCAAAGCUCAGAUGGGGGAACCUAUUUUUCCUCCCGGUACAUGCAUGAUAAAUGUAUGAACAUGCAAACUAUAUGAUGAACUUGCCCUUCGAGAGGUGACAUAUGGUCGUAACUCUUGCAUGAUGAAACAAGAAUCUUGAUUCUUGCCCAAACUCUACAAUGAAAAUUUUCUGAGUGACGGCCAUUGGGUCACCCACAAGUCUUGAGUUCAAGAUGCUUCAAGAAGGGUUUGCCCUUAUGCAAAACAACGUAUACGGAGCACACAUCCUAAAGGCAGGUUCUAUUCAUUAUGUGAACAUGGGUAAGUUUUCUACCUGGUCUCAAAAGGGUCUCAUAUCUGCCCAGUGACGUUCUUCGUAAAGACAGUGUGGGGGCGUUGCAAGGAAUAGUUAAGGUACGUCUACCCACCAUUACCAAGCAGGCACUCAGAUAUGAGUUCGGUUUUUCACGCAUCUGAACCCUGACCAAUAGUCAUAGGGCAGAUCGCUAAUUCACCACCUAACUUAGAAGCUUGUGUGUGCUUUAAAAAAUAAAUACAGGUGAUGCAUGAAACAAUUCUAAAAAUACAUGGAUAAAACAAAAAUAAAACAAGACAAAAAUGCAAAAACUUAAACACAUCAAAUACACAAAGCUUAGUCCAAUAUCGUCAGAAACAGUACCUUCCCCAGUGGAGUCGCCAUUCUGUCGCACGUCAUAAAAAAUCCGCGCGGCGUCGGCUGGCGAUCUUAUCGUUGUUAUGUUUUGAUUUGAUUGGUUCGUUGGAGUCGCCACCUAGUAAUUGAUUGAGGGCUACUAGGAAACCGGAUGUACUGGUCUUGUCAGAGAUUCGCGGGUAAGGGACUGGUUGUGGUUAGAGAAGGUAUUAGCACCCCUAACGCACCCUACCUGAGGUAAGCUGCUUCGCGAAUUUGAUGUGCUUAAAGAAGUUUUAAUAAUUGUUUUUUCAUCGGAUAUUAGAAAUACAACUUACGUAUAAGUUAAUAAUUCUUGACCGUGAUCCAAUCAAAAAUAUUAAAUUCUUCUUUAAUCUUUGCAAUUUCAUCAUAAAAAAAUAUAUAUAUAAAAAAUAAAACAAAUACAAACACCCACAUUCACUUUUACUAUAUUUUUGUUUUCUUUUCUUUUUCUUU